RNAcentral lists this ribosomal RNA (408 nucleotides) under uncultured bacterium. RNAcentral describes it as "partial 16S ribosomal RNA". It matches the Rfam family "Bacterial small subunit ribosomal RNA", at positions 28 to 526 of the family's 1533-position model. The record is from RNAcentral.
GACGAACGCUGGCGGCGUGCUUAACACAUGCAAGUCGAACGAAGUGGCGAACGGGUGAGUAACGUGUAAUCAACCUGCCCUUCAGAGGGGGACAACAGUUGGAAACGACUGCUAAUACCGCAUACUGAAGGAGGGGAUUGCGUCGGAUUAGCUAGUUGGAGGGGUAACGGCCCACCCAGGCGAUGAUCAGUAGCCGUGCUGUGGAGGAGGAUGGGCACAAUGGGAAUGAGACACGGCCCAGAAUCCUUCGGGAGGCAGCCGUGGGGAAACUUCGGCAAUGGGGGAAAGUCUGACGGCGCAACGCCCGGUGAGUUAUGGCGGCCUUCGGGUUGUAAAGCUAUGUUAAUCGGGGCGCGGUACCGGCAUAAGAAGCCACGGCUAACUACGUGCCAGCAGCCGCGGUAAUAC